GGAACUUCUGUUGAAAACGCAGAAAAUAUAGUUCAGGAAGAAAAAUAGCCCCACUAAAAAUUACAGAGCGAUAGUUUGGUGGGCAUAGGUGUCUCCUAUAGUCGGAGGAAAGUGAAAAUGUUCGUAAACGGUGAAAUCAGAAAAAUGUCGAUAAUUGAAUAGAAAUGUGCGGCCUUGAUAAUUAUUUUCAGAUAGCAAAUAACUACAAUUGAAACGAAACAAGCAGUCCUGCCCCUAUUACGGCUUAUUCUGCUUAAUCAUAUUUGUGUUAUUGUGUAAUUAGGAGUCUGAAUGUGAACUGAGAGACGAAGGUUUGAGUCCCUAUAAUCAUAUUUUCUUAAAAGUAUUACUGUUAAAAUUCCAAUUGCCUUGCCAAUUAAUGACUGGGAACAUGUAGUUUGUUGCUGUGUAAAUAUGAAAAGUAAAUGUUAAUUUUUUUUUGUGUUGAGAACCUCAUUCAAUGGCCAUCAGAACAUACUCGUACUCUUCCAAUUAAAAUUACUGCCAGCAGCACAAUUUGAUGGUUCACUCAGAACUAAGCCCAUCACUGGUAUACUCUUCUCUUCUUUAAUCUUGCUUGAAAUUACCCUCUUAUUUCGAAACAGAGCCAUGAUCACCAAGAUCUGCAAAAUCUUCGCAUUCAACUACAUCUCCGCAUUUUUCUCCAACCAUCCUAAGAUGGAUUGUUUGGUAUUCUGAUUAUGACAGACAUGAGGUUCCAAGAGUAUGGUCCAUAGCAUUAGUAGCAAGGUAUUGUCCCCAUGACUCCUUGCCUAAAUCAAGAGCAAAUAAUUCACCUACAGUAACAAAAACUGUUCAGUUAAAGUGACAAGGUGUUUAUUACAAGGAGGGAACAUUGACUUAUACAGGUCUGUGAUACGGGUUGAUUCAUUAUACUAAUUAAUAUUGUGUUGGAUACUGUCCAUUGUUUGAGGCAUUCUGCUCUGAUAUGAUUCAGGAGCUGGCUCUACUCACAAGUUCAGAUGGGCCAAUUACAGGCUGUUUGGUGGGACAUGAACUACACAGCUUCAAAGCAGCUAUGGCUAUGCCACUACCUCUCUUGUGCAGAUCAAGGCUUCUUGCCGAACCACAUGUACAAUCCAUGUGGAUUAGAUAUGACCUUGACAAGGCCAUAACAUCGCACUGUGCAUAAAGGUGUAUUUCUUCACAGCUGGAUAAUUAAUUUAAGUGGGAAACCAGUGUCAAUACGAAGUGAAGAGGAAAUCUAAUUGUCUAAGAGGAAGUAGCUAAGGUUCUAUGCUUACGUCCCUGAGGGUCAAUUGAUGAAUGGAAAUCCAGAAGAAAUCCAUAAUUAUGCUGUCCUUUGGCUCCGUAUCCAUCAGCAGAAAAGUGCAAU
Long non-coding RNA from Cryptotermes secundus, 1357 nucleotides. RefSeq lists it as uncharacterized. NCBI's taxonomy places the organism in Eukaryota, Metazoa, Arthropoda, Insecta, Blattodea, Kalotermitidae. The transcript has 5 exons. The record is from RefSeq and is a predicted model, not a curated record.